This 468-nucleotide ribosomal RNA is filed under the name uncultured bacterium. Its description in RNAcentral is "partial 16S ribosomal RNA". It matches the Rfam family "Bacterial small subunit ribosomal RNA", at positions 28 to 507 of the family's 1533-position model. The record is from RNAcentral.
GACGAACGCUGGCGGCGUGCUUAACACAUGCAAGUCGAACGGAAAGGCCCUGCUUUUGUGGGGUGCUCGAGUGGCGAACGGGUGAGUAACACGUGAGUAACCUGCCCUUGACUUUGGGAUAACUUCAGGAAACUGGGGCUAAUACCGGAUAGGAGCUCCUGCUGCAUGGUGGGGGUUGGAAAGUUUCGGCGGUUGGGGAUGGACUCGCGGCUUAUCAGCUUGUUGGUGGGGUAGUGGCUUACCAAGGCUUUGACGGGUAGCCGGCCUGAGAGGGUGACCGGCCACAUUGGGACUGAGAUACGGCCCAGACUGCUAAGGGAGGCAGCAGUGGGGAAUAUUGAACAAUGGGCGGAAGCCUGAUGCAGCAACGCCGCGUGCGGGAUGACGGCCUUCGGGUUGUAAACCGCUUUCGCCUGUGACGAAGCGUGAGUGACGGUAAUGGGUAAAGAAGCACCGGCUAACUACGUG